CCUACGGGGGGCAGCAGUGGGGAAUAUUGCGCAAUGGGCGAAAGCCUGACGCAGCGAAGCAGCGUGAGGGAUGAAGGUCUUCGGAUCGUAAACCUCUGUCAGCAGGGAAGAACGGUCACUGUGCCAAUCAGCAGUGAAUUGACGGUACCUGCAAAGGAAGCACAGGCUAACUCCGUGCCAGCAGCUGCGGUAAUACGGCGGGUGCGAGCGUUAAUCGGAUUUAUUGGGCGUAAAGCGCUCGUAGGCGGUAUGUCAAGUCAAGGGUGAAAUCCCCGCGCUCAACGUGGGAACUGCCUUUGAAACUGGCAAACUGGAGUGGGUGAGAGGAUAGUGGAAUUCCAGGUGUAGGAGUGAAAUCCGUAGAUAUCUGGAGGAACACCAGUGGCGAAGGCGACUAUCUGGCACAUUACUGACGCUGAGGAGCGAAAGCGUGGGUAGCAAACAGGAUUAGAUACCCUUGUAGUC
RNAcentral lists this ribosomal RNA (465 nucleotides) under uncultured bacterium. Its description in RNAcentral is "partial 16S ribosomal RNA". It matches the Rfam family "Bacterial small subunit ribosomal RNA", at positions 338 to 795 of the family's 1533-position model. The record is from RNAcentral.